CAGCAAAGAUAUUACAAUUGCCAUUUAUCUAUAUACCACACUCUGACUAGAAAAAACUAAAAGAAAAAAAGUGGCUAAUGAAUAGUGACUUGAAUCCAGUAAGGCAAGCACAAGUAAGAUGCAAAAUAUAAUUAAUGCCAAACGAAAACCAAAUUGCCCCAAGGAAAGUAGGAGCUUCAAUAUCAUCAAGAAAUUUUAUUAUCCCAUUUAAAUGGCGUCUUUCACGGAAUUAGCAAUUUGUAAAUACAUGAAGAGGUACAUGCACAUUUCAUUUUAUGCUUAAAAUUUACUCAUAUAUUCCACAUGAAGCAAGCCGUUUUAAUCCUCCAAUGGCUUCUAUGAAAAUUUUAGUCCUUCUUGUGCAGGUUUUACAUACACAGUCAUGUGGAUUUAGCAAACAGCACUAUGGGAAUGGAGUUGGCCUCCACACAUUACCCUGAAAUGGUUGUGGUUCUCCGCUCUACCUCUACAACCCUUCCCUCUUUUCACCUUAUUAAUCCAUGUAUUCUGCUAUGGAAACCAGACAGCUUUGCCUUCUACUUCUCGUAUAGUGGAGUUAAAAACUGGAUGUAAUCUUCACUUAAGGAACAAUGAGCCAGCUCCUUUGAUUGUAACUACCCAUGGAAAGCCCUAAAUGACGUCGUUUCUAUCUAUUGUCAAGUUGGAUCCAACGAUCUACAUUGUACUUCAGUUUAAGUAGUGAAUUCAAUUCUAAUAUUGUUUUACCUCACUAAUUUCUCCACAUAAAGUGACCUUGGAUGAAAUUGAGAUAGUGGAGGGGCACCUUAUUUACUGCUGCUUUUUAAUAGAUGAUUUUACUCUACUGUGAAGGAAGACAAGCAUCAGCCCAGACAUUGUAAUUACUGUUGUGCAUUUCUGAUUCCUCCAUGCAUGCCAUUUAUGGUUUUUGGAGCCCACGAAUUCCCCAAGAAUGCUUCAGCAUCAAAUUUGGAAUGUUAGAUAUGGCUGGCUACCUCAACCUGAUAAUGAUCCUUGGUCCACCUUCAACUGUCAUCCCAUGCCCCAUGUUGGCAAUACACUAACAUUCGCGUCUCCUCUAGAUUUCGACCUUAUUCUUUAGUAGAGAGAAACUUCAUGAUUGGUUCCCUACUUUUGAUCUGCGUGCUUCACAGAUUUCAAUACUGGACUUGGAUAUUUCAGUACCAUGUCUUAGUUCAUUAAUUAUGAGUAAUUAUUAUUCGAGUAACAAAGAGCCAUAUGGAAGAAAUGAGUUCAUAAGUCCAGAAUUCUCAUGGGAAAGAAAAACCUAUAGGUCCCGAGAAACCUGGUUCAUUUUUCUCUCUUUCCUUUUUUCUUUCUUUUUUCUUAUUGAAAAUUUGAAGGGUAAGGUUACCCUAUCCAUGUUUUAAUACGUGUAAAAUAAGAUUUACAUAUAUUGAGCGUUCCUUGAAAUGGUACAAUUUGAUAUAUCAAAUCAAGUGGGAGGAGAGGAUAAAUAUAGUUUCCUAAUUCUUCAUGCAAUUACUAGGUCUUUGUGGUGAUGAUGAUCUAUGUUGAAUACAAUUAUUGAUUUUUAGCCCUAGCCAUGCAGAGUUUCCAUUAAUACUGCCAUUUCCAGGUCUUCCAGGAUUAUCCAGUGAGCAACUGGUGACAUUAAGUUUUGGCCCCCUAAUCGAAAAAGCCUCCAGAAAGAUUUCAGUUAUCAAGCCAUCCAGCAUCAUCCUAAAUGGGAUAGCUAAAUCCUCUACGAGUUUCUUCAGUAGAAUGAAAAAUCCAUCUAUAAACUUAGGUUGUUUCUCUCGCAAAAUUAUGAUUAUAUCCAGGUCACUCCAAUUCUAACCCUGAUCUUCUAUUUAGUAGAAACCUUAAGACAUUCAAACAAAGGCAAACAAUAUGCUUUUUUUAAAUUGUUUACUCUAGAAUUAACUUAAUCCCUUGCUUGGGCUGCAAGAGAAGACCACUAUAGUCUCAUGAAGGAAGAUUCCAAGGCCGAGCUGCUUAGUCCUUCUCUACUACAAAGGAGGAAAUGUCAAACUAAAUGAAGCCAUCAUUUUUCCUACAUAAGGGUUGAAGAGCCAGCCAAAUGAAUGAAUUCGCAUGUGGAUUACUUUACUUUUCCAGAGUGUUUCGAACAUUUCAAAUGGGACUGCAUGCUUUCCAACAAUCUACCAUGCACCUCUCACCCAAAGAUUUCCAUUUGUAUCUAAAAUCAAAAUUACUUCAUCUAUCAUUCUAUUGAGAGGCAGAGGUAAAUACAUCAUAUUUUUGUGUAUAUGAGUGUUGUCUGUAGGAAGAUUAUAUCUAAACUCCAUUUUGCAAGUACUCAUGUCAAACUCAUAGAUAGCCAACAAUUAUAAAGACAUUACUAUCUCGCACUUUCAACAUGGCCCAAACAUAGCCCCAAAAGGACAUGGUUGGAACUAGUAAAAAAUAUAUAGGGACUUAUGGCCUCAAUGAGGAUAUGGCCAUUGAUAGAGCAGAAUGGUGGACAAAAAAUUGUGUAGCCACCCCUAAAUAGUUGGAAAAAGACUCUGACGAUGAUAUGCUCAACAAGGUGUAAGAUGUAUUUUAGAACUAGCUAGGGUAAGAUUUGAAUCUGAAACAAUGCGUUGACGUGUGCUUGCAAAUGAAAACCUGUAGUGCCUUAAUGUUGUCUAUUCAGAAUUACAAAGAUGAGAAAAGAGAAAGUCCACAACCUGAAGUCUACAAGCACCAAAAGCCAAUUGUAAGGGACAAACAUAUAGCUCCACAAACUGAAAACUACAAAAUGGAUGCAUAUGAUGGAGAUUAGGAUCAUCCAAAUAUUAAGAUGAAGAAGUUAUGAUUUAAUGAAUGCGAAAGGAUUAAUCAUAUAAAGUACAAAAGGAUCUUAAACAAACUCAAGAAGGUUGUCACUCCCUCCAUCUUCUCAGAAUGCAUCAGGUAAUACCUUCUCUUUCCUUUUCUCUGAACCAGCAAAUUGGACUGUAAACUCUAGGCUUCUUCCCAUAUGACUAGUAAACUAUCAUAACCAUCUUUCUUCAAAAAAUUGCAAAUUCUAAGUAUUUAUCACUUGCCUAUCACUCUAAUAUUCUAGUCCUUAGUGCAGGCCACACAUAACUAACUCCACUUCCCUUACAAAAUGUUCUAAACAUUCCAUCUUUUCCACCUAGUUGGGCUAUUUUGGGCAGUUGAUUAUUGUGUAGGGGACAUUUAGGAAAGUUUAAUGGCAGUUUUGGAAGAAAGUACUAAAAUUAUUGUAGAGUUGAUGAUGCAAAACCAUGGGGAUAGAAAGUUUAACGGUAGUUUUGGAAGAAUGUACUAAAAUUAUUAUAGAGUUGAUGAUGUAAAACAAUGGGGAUAGCAACUUAGUGAGACAUUGGAACUGGUAAGCCAAGUAAAGAAUCCAUGCUUACAUCCUCCAAUGAAGAUUUUGGAACUGGUAAGGAAGUAUAGAGGCUUGUAUUUUGAGCAUAUCCCUUUGAAACUUGGCAAGUUUAGCAAUG
This 3446-nucleotide long non-coding RNA is filed under the name Amborella trichopoda. RNAcentral describes it as "long non-coding RNA (ATRI_LNC003935)". Lineage: Eukaryota; Viridiplantae; Streptophyta; Magnoliopsida; Amborellales; Amborellaceae. The record is from RNAcentral.